GAAUGCUGACAUAAGUAACGAUAAAGCGGGUGAAAAGCCCGCUCGCCGGAAGACCAAGGGUUCCUGUCCAACGUUAAUCGGGGCAGGGUGAGUCGACCCCUAAGGCGAGGCCGAAAGGCGUAGUCGAUGGGAAACGGGUUAAUAUUCCCGUACUUGGUGUUACUGCGAAGGGGGGACGGAGAAGGCUAUGUUGGCCGGGCGACGGUUGUCCCGGUUUAAGCGUGUAGGUGUGUGUUCCAGGUAAAUCCGGUUCACUUUAACACUGAGGCGUGACGACGAGGCACUACGGUGCUGAAGCAACAAAUGCCCUGCUUCCAGGAAAAGCCUCUAAGCAUCAGGUAACAUCAAAUCGUACCCCAAACCGACACAGGUGGUCAGGUAGAGAAUACCAAGGCGCUUGAGAGAACUCGGGUGAAGGAACUAGGCAAAAUGGUGCCGUAACUUCGGGAGAAGGCACGCUGACACGUAGGUGAAGUGAUUUACUCAUGGAGCUGAAGUCAGUCGAAGAUACCAGCUGGCUGCAACUGUUUAUUAAAAACACAGCACUGUGCAAACACGAAAGUGGACGUAUACGGUGUGACGCCUGCCCGGUGCCGGAAGGUUAAUUGAUGGGGUCAGCGCAAGCGAAGCUCCUGAUCGAAGCCCCGGUAAACGGCGGCCGUAACUAUAACGGUCCUAAGGUAGCGAAAUUCCUUGUCGGGUAAGUUCCGACCUGCACGAAUGGCGUAAUGAUGGCCAGGCUGUCUCCACCCGAGACUCAGUGAAAUUGAACUCGCUGUGAAGAUGCAGUGUACCCGCGGCAAGACGGAAAGACCCCGUGAACCUUUACUAUAGCUUGACACUGAACAUUGAGCCUUGAUGUGUAGGAUAGGUGGGAGGCUUUGAAGUGUGGACGCCAGUCUGCAUGGAGCCGACCUUGAAAUACCACCCUUUAAUGUUUGAUGUUCUAACGUGGACCCGUUACCCGGGUUGCGGACAGUGUCUGGUGGGUAGUUUGACUGGGGCGGUCUCCUCCUAAAGAGUAACGGAGGAGCACGAAGGUUGGCUAAUCCUGGUCGGACAUCAGGAGGUUAGUGCAAUGGCAUAAGCCAGCUUGACUGCGAGCGUGACGGCGCGAGCAGGUGCGAAAGCAGGUCAUAGUGAUCCGGUGGUUCUGAAUGGAAGGGCCAUCGCUCAACGGAUAAAAGGUACUCCGGGGAUAACAGGCUGAUACCGCCCAAGAGUUCAUAUCGACGGCGGUGUUUGGCACCUCGAUGUCGGCUCAUCACAUCCUGGGGCUGAAGUAGGUCCCAAGGGUAUGGCUGUUCGCCAUUUAAAGUGGUACGCGAGCUGGGUUUAGAACGUCGUGAGACAGUUCGGUCCCUAUCUGCCGUGGGCGCUGGAGAACUGAGGGGGGCUGCUCCUAGUACGAGAGGACCGGAGUGGACGCAUCACUGGUGUUCGGGUUGUCAUGCCAAUGGCACUGCCCGGUAGCUAAAUGCGGAAGAGAUAAGUGCUGAAAGCAUCUAAGCACGAAACUUGCCCCGAGAUGAGUUCUCCCUGAGACUUAGAGUCUCCUGAAGGAACGUUGAAGACGACGACGUUGAUAGGCCGGGUGUGUAAGCGCAGCGAUGCGUUGAGCUAACCGGUACUAAUGAACCGUGAGGCUUAACCUUACAACGCCG
RNAcentral lists this ribosomal RNA (1664 nucleotides) under Salmonella enterica subsp. enterica serovar Enteritidis. Its description in RNAcentral is "partial 23S ribosomal RNA". It matches the Rfam family "Bacterial large subunit ribosomal RNA", at positions 1292 to 2925 of the family's 2925-position model. Lineage: Bacteria; Pseudomonadati; Pseudomonadota; Gammaproteobacteria; Enterobacterales; Enterobacteriaceae. The record is from RNAcentral.